CGUUCAGACACCGGUUCCUGUACGAUCACCAAAGUUAAGCAACGUGGAGAAUGGUCAGUAUCUAAAUGGGUGACCGCUUGGGAAUACCAGGUGCU
Acanthosepion pharaonis is the source of this 95-nucleotide non-coding RNA. Lineage: Eukaryota; Metazoa; Mollusca; Cephalopoda; Sepiida; Sepiidae. The record is from the annotation of a GenBank genome assembly.